UUCCGGUUGAUCCUGCCGGAGGUCACUGCUAUUGGGAUUCGACUAAGCCAUGCGAGUCGAGAGGGUUCGGCCCUCGGCAGACGGCUCAGUAAUACGUGGAUAAUCUGCCCUUAGGUGGAAGAUAAUCUCGGGAAACUGAGAAUAAUAUUCCAUAGAUCUAAGUUGCUGGAAUGCACUUAGAUUUAAAGCUUCGGCGCCUAAGGAUGAGUCUGCGGACUAUCAGGUAGUAGUCAGGGUAAAGGCCUGACUAGCCUAUGACGGAUACGGGUUGUGAGAGCAAUAACCCGGAGACGAUAUCUGAGACACGAUAUCGGGCCCUACGGGGCGCAGCAGGCGCGAAAACUUCACAAUGUGCGAAAGCACGAUGAGGGAAUCCCAAGUGCUUGCUCGUAAGAGUAAGCUGUUUUUAUGUCUAAAAUGCAUAGAGAGUAAGGGCUGGGUAAGACGGGUGCCAGCCGCCGCGGUAAUACCUGCAGCUCAAGUGGUGACCGCUAUUAUUGGGCCUAAAACGUUCGUAGCCGGUUUAUUAAAUGCCUGGGUAAAUCGUGUAGCUUAACUAUACGAAUUCCGGGUAGACUGAUAGACUUGAGACCGGGAGAAGCUAGAGGUACUCCUGGGGUAGAGGUGAAAUUCUGUAAUCCUGGGGGGACCACCAGUGGCGAAGGCGUCUAGCUAGAACGGGUCUGACGGUGAGGAACGAAGCCCUGGGGCGCAAACCGGAUUAGAUACCCGGGUAGUCCAGGGUGUAAACGCUGCUUGCUUGAUGUUAGUUGGGCUCCGAGCCCAAUUAGUGUCGGAGAGAAGUUGUUAAGCAAGCUGCCUGGGAAGUACGAUCGCAAGAUUGAAACUUAAAGGAAUUGGCGGGGGAGCACAGCAACGGGUGGAGCGUGCGGUUUAAUUGGAUUCAACGCCGGAA
Molecule: ribosomal RNA, 916 nt
Filed under: uncultured archaeon
Lineage: Archaea
Description: bacterial SSU rRNA
Rfam family: Archaeal small subunit ribosomal RNA
Source: RNAcentral